This 497-nucleotide ribosomal RNA is filed under the name uncultured bacterium. RNAcentral describes it as "partial 16S ribosomal RNA". It matches the Rfam family "Bacterial small subunit ribosomal RNA", at positions 28 to 507 of the family's 1533-position model. The record is from RNAcentral.
GACGAACGCUGGCGGCGUGCCUAAUACAUGCAAGUUGAGCGCUGAAGGUUGGUACUUGUACCAACUGGAUGAGCAGCGAACGGGUGAGUAACGCGUGGGGAAUCUGCCUUUGAGCGGGGGACAACAUUUGGAAACGAAUGCUAAUACCGCAUAAAAACUUUAAACACAAGUUUUAAGUUUGAAAGAUGCAAUUGCAUCACUCAAAGAUGAUCCCGCGUUGUAUUAGCUAGUUGGUGAGGUAAAGGCUCACCAAGGCGAUGAUACAUAGCCGACCUGAGAGGGUGAUCGGCCAACUUGGGAAUGGAACACGGGCCAAAAUCCUAGGGGGGGGAGCAGUAGGGAAUCUUCGGCCAUGGACGAAAGUCUGAACGAGCAACGCCGCGUGAGUGAAGAAGGUUUUCGGAUCGUAAAACUCUGUUGGUAGAGAAGAACGUUGAGGAGAGUGGAAAGCUCAUCAAGUGACGGUAACUACACAGAAAGCGACGGCUAACUACGUG